CGGUUUGUAGCUCAGCUGGUAGAGCAGCUGACUCUUAAUCAGCGGGUCGAGGGUUCGAGUCCCUCCAAACCGA
This 73-nucleotide transfer RNA is filed under the name Prolixibacteraceae bacterium. Its description in RNAcentral is "tRNA-Lys". It matches the Rfam family "tRNA". From Rfam's summary of the family: Transfer RNA (tRNA) molecules are approximately 80 nucleotides in length. Their secondary structure includes four short double-helical elements and three loops (D, anti-codon, and T loops). The record is from RNAcentral. Lineage: Bacteria; Pseudomonadati; Bacteroidota; Bacteroidia; Marinilabiliales; Prolixibacteraceae.